This 427-nucleotide long non-coding RNA is filed under the name Nicotiana benthamiana. RNAcentral describes it as "long non-coding RNA (NBEN_LNC020989)". The record is from RNAcentral. Lineage: Eukaryota; Viridiplantae; Streptophyta; Magnoliopsida; Solanales; Solanaceae.
CUGAAUGACCUACCCUAAUCCCUCAUUUUACUAUGAUAGCCGCCUUUGAAAUCCUUCAUCUCUCAACUCUCUCAAAACCCUUCAGAACCCUAGCCUCCUCCUACCUUAUUUCACCGAAUUCUUGCCGGAAUCUAUGGCCUCUCUGACCAUGGACAGUCUGUACCAGCCCCCUCCACCAUUAAACCAUGGUUGUUUGAAGCUUCAGGACUUGACCUCGAUAGUUUUCUUUCAGAUCUUUUGUUCUAUGGCCCUAUCAGCCUUUGCUCCGACAUAUUCAAGAUUCAGGAGCCUGAAUACUAACCUCUCCAACUCGGGAUCUAAUUCUUCUUUCAAGGCUUUCUCAUUUCUAGGGUUUCUCCGAGAGCCUGAGCUAUUCGAGGUUCUUUCUCUGUUGUUGGUUUAGAUCUAUGAUGUAUCUAUGUUUUAC